This 4282-nucleotide long non-coding RNA is filed under the name Homo sapiens (human). RNAcentral's name for it is "SOX2 overlapping transcript". The stretch from base 583 to 858 matches the Rfam family "SOX2 overlapping transcript exon 3". Lineage: Eukaryota; Metazoa; Chordata; Mammalia; Primates; Hominidae. The record is from RNAcentral.
GUAGGAAGAAAACUGUGAAUGGAAAAAGGAGAAGGGGAGAGAAACGGGGGAAAUCUGGAUAAUACAUUAAAGUAACCAUAAUUUUGGAGAUGCAUUCAUCUUAUUGAAAAUAUGUACGUAACCAGUGAUACCGAAGUCGGAUAUUUGCUCAAUCAGGAUGCUCAACAAUUUGAGCCUUUAAAGUUUGGAGCUGCAUGGGUUUGUGGAGAAAGUCGGCUCGUGAUAUUUCCUCAUGGUUGUGAUUCCUCUUCACUCUUUUGAAUUUGGAAGGAUGGCAUACACAUCUGAAAAAUACCACUACUUCCUUCAUUGGACUGCAAGGUAUUUCUGUUUGGAAAAGUAAUGGAGUCCAGUCAACUUCAUUGAUCGCCAAGGACUGUCAAAAUUAUAAAACUUGCUGUGGAGCUCUGACAUGCCAGAAGCCGCUAGAAAAAGAAGUUUGACAUUCAGAAACUUAUCAAGAGGUUCUACUCUUUGGAUAGAGACCAAAAUCAUACUUUGAAAAAGCCUGACAGGUUUCUUCGGAAAAGUGGCCAUCCAUGGAAUGAAUGAAAUGUUCUCUUUCUAUUCCAGGGAUUGCAGUGGCAAAGCUAGGCUAGGUCUUGGAGGCUGGUGUAAGGCGAUGUGGGUGAAGGCAGGAGGCUGAUGGAAAGACUGGGGGGAAGAAAAGCCGAAAUGGAUUCACGGUGCCUUGGAUGAAGGACGAGAGGGGAACUGCAAGCUCCUUCAACUGGUUCUGUCCGGUGAGAAGUGAUCAAGCUUGGGCUGACAAGAGGCUCAGGGAGCCCUCACGUUCUUUCGCUUUUUUACCUGCCAAUCAAACUGCUACAAGACAACACCCUGAUCUGGCAUGGACAUCGCGGGUCCAAGCCUGUAGCCCCAAAUCGGAUAAUCUCUGCAGCUGAUAACAAGCAAAAGAGAAGCCAGGCAACAGCCAUAUUAAAGAAGAAAACAAUCAACUCUGAGAUCCAACUUAGAAAUAAUGUUUCAUUCAAGAUAAGGCUCGUGGCUUAGGAGAUUGUGACCUGGCUUGCAUCAUUCUAAGACUUCUAUCGUCUGUUUUCAAAACCCAAGGAGGACCUCCUUUUCUGUGUGAUAGUUCCUCAUGCUUUGCCAGCCACUGGGUCUUUAAGGAAGCUUGCCAAGAGUUCCCGGCUGGGAAGGACAGUUCGAGUUCAUCAUAGACAAUGAGCUGGCACCACAGUUUAAGUGACUCACCAACCUGGUUGCCCACUUCAAAAUGUCAAGAACCACACUAUCUAAUUGAAAGAACUGUGUUUUAGCAAAGUGUAAUUGGAUCGCCUGGCAAGAUCAUCUCAAACUAUGUCUCUGACCUUGCCUUUCAGUGGCUAUUUUGAGCACAAGAGGAGAAAGGAAAUGAUUCCUGAAUUAUAUCUUGUUUUUAAAAAUUAAGAUUAAUUAAUACUUGGUUUUAUGUUCAUUCCAUUGUAGGAACUUAGUGAUUAUUACAAAACAGUCAAAAUAGGUCAUAGCAAAAUGAACGUUUAAGAUUAGGUUAAAACAUUCCUCUGAAAUUUUAGUAUUCACUUUUGAAGUGUCAAUUACUAUAUUUCUGUAAUUUCUCAUUUUUUUCUUGGCUUAGAGUCAAGAUGAAAAAUGAUAUUUGAAUCAAAGACAUUGUUUUGUUAUAUAGCCACUCCUUUCUAAAAUGCAAAUCCACCCUCCCCUCACCAAUGCUUUAUUCUUUGUGCGCGCACACACACACACACACACACACACACACACACACACACACAGACAUACACAGAACCAGCACCCAAAUGGUAGAGGAGGUCCUUCCAAGACUUCUAGGACCUGGAUCAUGUAAGCAGUAGAUGAGAAAAUGAAGUAAGAGAUAUAGAGUAAUAACAAUAAAAGUCAAUGAUUUCAUUUUACAAAAAAGUCAUUGUGUAGUACUCAGAUAUUUUUAAGAGCAAGUAUUAUUAUGACUAAAGUAUAUUAUACUUCUAAAUUAUUAUGAUUCUCAUCUAAUUUCAAGCCACACAUAGGCGCCAUUUGAAAGCAUUUUGUGUUACAACCUAUCAACAAAAAUCAACUAAUAGUUUUAUAACGUGCAUAGGUUUACCCCAUGGGGAAUUAAAAUUUUUAUCUGCAAGUAUUUCUGUUGUUGUGAGACUUUAGGACAAGACAACAUUUGGUGUUAACAUAGAAGAAUAUUCUAUGGCUUUUUUAGCUUUAAAGUUCAUUACUCUAAAAUAAAGUACACGUGGUAUUUUUUUCUUCCUAGUGUUCUCUUAUUAUAUGUAGAGUAUUUUCGGUUGUUGUUUUUAACGUAUACAUUAUUUUUAUUAAGUCAUUUCAUAAAAGAUAAGAUAUAUACUAAUAGACCCUUGGUUUUCUCCUAAUUUAAUUAUUUCAAGUCAAGCAAAAUUGGGCAAUUUUCUUUCAGGAAAAAAAAAAUAUUGAGCAUGAUUUUGAGGUAAAACUGAUUAUUUACAGCAUCUUUUCUCUAAUAGGCUAACAUUUAUGAUGGAUCUUAUUUCAAAGUUGAUUAUUCUCAAAGAAAAGUGGAGAUAUUAGAAUUUCCGAGUAAAUUGCAUUGUUUUAAAAAGUACUUUAAUGCAUUGUUCACAUUGUUGCCAGCUAUUGACCAAAAAAGAGAAGAAGAAAAAAGAAAUAAAAAAAGCAGUAUCUGCUCCAAACGUCAAGUUUUGCAGUUUGAAAGACUUGUACAUUAUAAUUGUUUUUUUCUUUUUUGGAAAGCAGUAGUAAUUAAUACCAAAGGCAUAGACAAUUUAGGGCCAUAACCUCCCUUCCCCCCUCUCCACCUUUUUUUUUUUUUUUUUUUUUUUUUAACUUUAACCAUGAUAGGCAUCUCUGCAAGGUAGGUUUUAACAUAUUUUUUUCCUAAUUUUUUUCCCUCCAUUCAGUAAGAAGGAUAAGCUUUUAGAGUACCCAGUCACCGUGGUAACUGCCAAAAAAAUUCUCCUGAAGUUUGAAGAGGUCAGCUAGCAGGGUCAACAACCCUGGCCUCUCUCUGAGCUCGGUCUAGCAUGCCCCAGCCUGCGGUUGGAGUGUCAGGCCAGAUCUGACCCUGGGAGGUGGACCAUUCUGGCUCUGAUAUAAAUUUUUCGAGUCAGUUCAUGGCCUGGACUCUCCAGGUGGCCUCCAAAAUCGAUUUUGACCCCCUGACCCUGUCUCACGGAGGCAUAGCAUCCACCCUAAGUAAGGAUUUAGCCAGGAAUGACAGCUUUCCACUGAGUGUUAUUGGGGACAGUAUAAACAGUUUGGAAAGCAAGUAAGGAGGUGUGAGGGCUAGCAAUCAUUAAAAGCACAUUAAAAAACAAUUUUUAAAAAUCUUUAUUAGAGAAAGUUGUAAAUGCAUAUCUGUUACAGAAUUCCUGUGAUUUGUAGAGUUUUCUAGUCAGUUUUGAAUAUAAAUAGGUCACAUAUCUUUAUCUUUUUGCAUACUUUGUUACAAAUAUGCAAAUAAGAUAGGCAUACUUGCUACAAAAUAGGUACAGCAGGAAUGUAAUAUGUUCAGAAAAGGCAAACUGGUUAUUAAAACACAUUAACAGGUAAGGAGUUUCUAAUAUUUUAAAUACUAAAAUUUUACAUGUGUAUUUUGAAGUUUUUAAAAUGGAAAAAUAAAGAACCUUUAAAAAACCCAACAGUGUGGAAUAAAGAUAAACUUGUUGCACUCAAGGUACAUUUCUACUUUGUAAAGCAAGAAGCCAAUACACUCAGUUGGAUAAAAAUGAGAGAAAAAUUGUAAAUAUAGAGAGUUACAGCUUAUAGAGCUGAAGAGGAAUAAAACAAAAAAAAGUGUCUCUGAAUAACUUUAUGUAUUUUCAACAGUUUAAGAUAUCAGAAACUUGGAAAAUAAAUAUGAUAUAUAUAUAAAUCAUCAGUGAUUAUUUCCUUUUCAUUCCCCCCCGCCCCCAGGAUGCCACCGUGAGUGUUUGAUUUUCUCUAGGAAAGUAGAAUUCUCUUUGAGAGUUCUAGCCUGUGAACUCAGUAUGUAAAUGUGGCCAUCAAGAAGACAGAACUGCCAAGAGGAAAGAUUAUGAAUGUUUUUCUUCCUUAAAACCAUUCACAGUGUUUCUUCUUCCAGUGCUUUACUCAGACUUCUCCCCUUUUCCCAGCUCUGUUGAAAAUGGCUUCAAAAGCAACACUGCAGUGGCUAAACCAAUUGUACUGUGAAGUUGUUGAGAUGCCAUUUCAUCUGAAUCCUUCGUAAAAAUUAGAUUUUUAAGUAGGGGUGAAUAUCCUUUUGGGAGAGGGAAUGGGAGGGUAGAAGAAGGGGGGAAAGGACAGAGCA